Molecule: ribosomal RNA, 755 nt
Filed under: Bacillus licheniformis
Lineage: Bacteria; Bacillati; Bacillota; Bacilli; Caryophanales; Bacillaceae
Description: bacterial SSU rRNA
Rfam family: Bacterial small subunit ribosomal RNA
Source: RNAcentral
UAUACAUGCAGUCGAGCGGACCGACGGGAGCUUGCUCCCUUAGGUCAGCGGCGGACGGGUGAGUAACACGUGGGUAACCUGCCUGUAAGACUGGGAUAACUCCGGGAAACCGGGGCUAAUACCGGAUGCUUGAUUGAACCGCAUGGUUCAAUCAUAAAAGGUGGCUUUUAGCUACCACUUACAGAUGGACCCGCGGCGCAUUAGCUAGUUGGUGAGGUAACGGCUCACCAAGGCGACGAUGCGUAGCCGACCUGAGAGGGUGAUCGGCCACACUGGGACUGAGACACGGCCCAGACUCCUACGGGAGGCAGCAGUAGGGAAUCUUCCGCAAUGGACGAAAGUCUGACGGAGCAACGCCGCGUGAGUGAUGAAGGUUUUCGGAUCGUAAAACUCUGUUGUUAGGGAAGAACAAGUACCGUUCGAAUAGGGCGGCACCUUGACGGUACCUAACCAGAAAGCCAUGGCUAACUACGUGCCAGCAGCCGCGGUAAUACGUAGGUGGCAAGCGUUGUCCGGAAUUAUUGGGCGUAAAGCGCGCGCAGGCGGUUUCUUAAGUCUGAUGUGAAAGCCCCCGGCUCAACCGGGGAGGGUCAUUGGAAACUGGGGAACUUGAGUGCAGAAGAGGAGAGUGGAAUUCCACGUGUAGCGGUGAAAUGCGUAGAGAUGUGGAGGAACACCGGUGGCGAAGGCGACUCUCUGGUCUGGUACUGACGCUGAAGGCGCGAAAGCGUGGGGAGCGAACUGGAUUAGAUACC